This 1366-nucleotide ribosomal RNA is filed under the name uncultured bacterium. Its description in RNAcentral is "bacterial SSU rRNA". It matches the Rfam family "Bacterial small subunit ribosomal RNA". The record is from RNAcentral.
GAGUUUGAUCCUGGCUCAGGACGAACGCUGGCGGCGCGCCUAACACAUGCAAGUCGAACGAGCAAAGAGGAGCUUGCUUCUCUGAGCGAGUGGCGAACGGGUGGGUAACGCGUGAGGAACCUGCCUCAAAGAGGGGGACAACAGUUGGAAACGACUGCUAAUACCGCAUAAGCCCACGGGUCGGCAUCGACCAGAGGGAAAAGGAGUGAUCCGCUUUGAGAUGGCCUCGCGUCCGAUUAGCUAGUUGGUGAGGUAACGGCCCACCAAGGCGACGAUCGGUAGCCGGACUGAGAGGUUGAACGGCCACAUUGGGACUGAGACACGGCCCAGACUCCUACGGGAGGCAGCAGUGGGGAAUAUUGCACAAUGGGGGAAACCCUGAUGCAGCGACGCCGCGUGGAGGAAGAAGGUCUUCGGAUUGUAAACUCCUGUUGUUGAGGAAGAUAAUGACGGUACUCAACAAGGAAGUGACGGCUAACUACGUGCCAGCAGCCGCGGUAAAACGUAGGUCACAAGCGUUGUCCGGAAUUACUGGGUGUAAAGGGAGCGCAGGCGGGAAGACAAGUUGGAAGUGAAAUCCAUGGGCUCAACCCAUGAACUGCUUUCAAAACUGUUUUUCUUGAGUAGUGCAGAGUAGGCGGAAUUCCCGGUGUAGCGGUGGAAUGCGUAGAUAUCGGGAGGAACACCUGUGGCGAACGCGGCUACUGGGCACCAACUGACGCUGAGGCUCGAAAGUGUGGGUAGCAAACAGGAUUAGAUACCCUGGUAGUCCACACCGUAAACGAUGAUUACUAGGUGUUGGAGGAUUGACCCCUUCAGUGCCGCAGUUAACACAAUAAGUAAUCCACCUGGGGAGUACGACCGCAAGGUUGAAACUCAAAGGAAUUGACGGGGGCCCGCACAAGCAGUGGAGUAUGUGGUUUAAUUCGACGCAACGCGAAGAACCUUACCAAGUCUUGACAUCCUGCGACGGACAUAGAAAUAUGUCUUUCCUUCGGGACGCAGAGACAGGUGGUGCAUGGUUGUCGUCAGCUCGUGUCGUGAGAUGUUGGGUUAAGUCCCGCAACGAGCGCAACCCUUAUGGUCAGUUACUACGCAAGAGGACUCUGGCCAGACUGCCGUUGACAAAACGGAGGAAGGUGGGGAUGACGUCAAAUCAUCAUGCCCUUUAUGACUUGGGCUACACACGUACUACAAUGGCGUUAAACAAAGGGAAGCAAGACCGCGAGGUGGAGCAAAACUCAGAAACAACGUCCCAGUUCGGACUGCAGGCUGCAACUCGCCUGCACGAAGUCGGAAUUGCUAGUAAUCGUGGAUCAGCAUGCCACGGUGAAUACGUUCCCGGGCCUUGUACACACCGCCCGUC